UUGAACUCACAGUCUUAUGAAUACUGGUCGGGUUCAUUAACACCAAGCUACAAUGGGAACUCCCCAGUAUCCUGAUUUGUAAUGUGUGGUAUCUUAGAACUAGCCAGGACACAACAGCGAAAAGCUAAUCUCUUUAAGCAACAAAGAGACUGGAAUAACUCGGGGUUUUUGUUUGUUUGUUUCAGUUUAUCAUCAAUUCUUUUUUUUUUUUUCACUUUUUAAAGUUUCAUUGAAGUAUAGUUGACUUACAAUGUUGUGAUAACUCCUGCUAUACAACAAAAUGAUUCAAUUAUAUAUAUACACACAUCCAUUCUUUUUAAGAUUUCCAUAUUGAUUAUCACAGUAUAGGAGUUCCCAUUGUGGCACAGCAUAAACAAAUCCAACUAGCAACCAUGAGGUUGUGGGUUCAAUCCCUGGCCUCAGGAGGUUAAGGAUCCGGUGUUUCCAGGAGCUGUGUGUGGUGCAGGUUGCAGAUGCAGCUUGGAUCCUGCGUUGCUGUUCGAUUCCACCCCUACCUAACCUGGGAACCUCCAUAUGCUGCUGGUACAGCCCUAGAAGCAAACAAACAAAAAGAAAUUAUCACAGUAUAUAGGGUAGAGUUCCCUAUGCUGUACAGCAUGUCCUGUGAGGAAGACCUUGAAGGUAGAAAGAGACAGCACAUUUGACUUUGCUAAACUGAACUUCAGGUUGUACAAAUCAAGUGCAUUUGGCCCUGGAAGCAGCAUUUUAAAAAUCCAGAGUCUAGCAAAGGAGAGUGUGAGAAGGAAGAAGAAGAAGAAGAAGCCUCUCCUUUGGCCACUGAGUCCUCCUCAUUUGAAGUGGGGAUUCCUUGGAGGCCACACGUGGUUCAUUUCUCUGAAAAAUUAUGAUUUGCCAAACACAACUCCGGCCCGUUCCGAUGUGAUCAGUUGCUUGGGGCGCGGCCCAGGAACUGCUCUCUGGAGUCAAGAGUCAGAGAAAGCAUCAAAUCAAUACGGAGCUGUAAACGGGUCCCCAGCCCGUACCCCUUUGUUAUUUCUACUGGUUUGUUCUACAGACCCUUAAUUCUAUUAUCCAGCUUUAAUUUGGCUCUGUGUCUCUCCAACAUUUUUUUUUUCUUUCUUCUGCGCCCUUUCUCUUUAAUCGAUUGAUUCAUCUGUAAUUGGAUUUUCUCUGGCUGUUACCAGCUAUUAAAAGUAGCUCUGCGUGUGUAUGUGAGUGAGUGCGCUUUCUAACUAGGCCACGGUUUCGAAUGCCUGGCAAUCCUGUCUCUUGCUCAGGUUCCUUAGAACGAAUUCAAUUCCCUGAUUCCUUCUUAGGCAGUGGGGAGUCAGAGAGAGAACGCAGGCCUUAGAAGCAGAUAGCACCGCACCAUAUCGUGUUUGGUUCUGUUUGUUUAGUGUAAGGCGGACAUUUAUUGAGCUCAUAUUACUGGGCCAGGAGUCUUUCCAAGCACUUUACAAGCAUGAAUAACCCUCACUGCAUCCUUUUAAGGUAGGUACUAUUAUUAUUCCAUUUUACAGAUAAAAGAAUGGCAUCAGAGGAGGUUAAGGGACCCACCCAUGGUCUCACAAUAGCACUUGAUCAUGAUGCAGUUUUCCAAAAUUCUACCCCUUCAUACCUGAGUAAAUUGGGGGGGGGGGGGUUUGUUAUGUUUUUUUCUUUUUAGGGCCGCACCUGAGGCAUAUGGAAGUUCCCAGGCUAGGGGUUGAAUUGGAGUUGCAACGCUGCCCUACACCACAGCCACAGUGAGACCAGAUCUAAGCUGCAUUCACCACCUACACCUCAGCUUGUGGCAGUGCCAGAUCCUUAACCCACUAAGCAAGGCCAGGGAUCAAACCCGCAUCCUCAUGGAUACUAGUCGAAUUCUUAACCCUCUGAGCCACAACGGGAACUCCUGUAUCUGCGUAACUUUGGCAUGGCUCAUUUUUUCUGCCUCAGCCUCCACAUCACUUCUGCAGAAUGAGCAAAAGCAGAUCUCCCUUGCAGGAUGAUGGUUAGAAUGUUUCACACUGGGGGGUAUAUACAUAGCAGAUCCCAGGGUCUGACACCACAAGGGAGACCA
This 2044-nucleotide long non-coding RNA is filed under the name Sus scrofa (pig). RNAcentral's name for it is "lncRNA (ENSSSCG00065057455.1)". Lineage: Eukaryota; Metazoa; Chordata; Mammalia; Artiodactyla; Suidae. The record is from RNAcentral.